AAGAGGAGAACAAAGUCGCGUAUAUUAAAUUCCUUUUUCACAAUCCUUUUGUCAUGCCAAGCUUUGGUUCUUUCUUUGUAUAUAACGGCAUUCUCGUAAGCGUUCUGGCGGAGUUCCUCCAAUUUGUGGAUAUCAAGGAUUCGCUUCUUGCCAGAUGCUAGGUAAUCUAAAUUCAGGGUCUUGAUGGCCCAAUAUGCCUUGUGCUU
RNAcentral lists this long non-coding RNA (206 nucleotides) under Lathyrus oleraceus (garden pea). Its description in RNAcentral is "Pisum sativum (pea) long non-coding RNA (PSAT_LNC009808)". Lineage: Eukaryota; Viridiplantae; Streptophyta; Magnoliopsida; Fabales; Fabaceae. The record is from RNAcentral.